This 306-nucleotide unclassified non-coding RNA is filed under the name plant metagenome. RNAcentral's name for it is "partial contains 5.8S ribosomal RNA, internal transcribed spacer 2, and large subunit ribosomal RNA". The stretch from base 1 to 105 matches the Rfam family "5.8S ribosomal RNA", at positions 50 to 154 of the family's 154-position model. The record is from RNAcentral.
GAAAUGCGAUAAGUAGUGUGAAUUGCAGAAUUCAGUGAAUCAUCGAAUCUUUGAACGCACAUUGCGCCCCUUGGUAUUCCAUGGGGCAUGCCUGUUCGAGCGUCAUCUACACCCUCAAGCUCUGCUUGGUGUUGGGCGUCUUUGUCCCGCCUCCGCGCGCGGACUCGCCCCAGAUUCAUUGGCAGCGGUCCUUGCCUCCUCUCGCGCAGCACAUUGCGCUUCUCGAGGUGUUGCGGCCCGCGUCCAGAAAGCAAUCGUUACCGUCUUUGACCUCGGAUCAGGUAGGGAUACCCGCUGAACUUAAGC